AUGAUGGACUAUAGGACAGGACUGCUGCUUUUAACUGUCUGCUGGGCAGGUGUUGAUGGUCAGACUCUCACAGAAUCUGAACCAGUGGUUAAAAGGCCUGGAGAAUCCCACAGAUUGACCUGUACAAGCUCUGGAUUCACAUUCAGCAGCUACUAUAUGAACUGGGUCAGACAGGCUCCUGGAAAAGGACUGGAGUGGGUCGCAUAUAUCAGUAGCGGUGGUAGCAACAAAUACUACUCUCAGUCAGUUCAAGGCCGGUUUACCAUCUCCAGAGACAACAGUAAACAGCAGGUGUAUCUGCAGAUGAACAGUCUGAAGACUGAAGAUUCUGCUGUUUAUUACUGUGCUCGAGACUCACAGUGACUGGAGUUGGUUGAGCAGCUGUACAAAAACCUACAGGACUCAUCUUUCAGGCUGU
Non-coding RNA from Micropterus dolomieu (smallmouth bass), 418 nucleotides. The record is from the annotation of a RefSeq genome assembly. NCBI's taxonomy places the organism in Eukaryota, Metazoa, Chordata, Actinopteri, Centrarchiformes, Centrarchidae.